This 120-nucleotide ribosomal RNA is filed under the name uncultured bacterium. RNAcentral describes it as "partial 16S ribosomal RNA". It matches the Rfam family "Bacterial small subunit ribosomal RNA", at positions 29 to 157 of the family's 1533-position model. The record is from RNAcentral.
AGCGAACGCUGGCGGCAGGCUUAACACAUGCAAGUCGAACGGCCGUAGCAAUACGGCAGUGGCAGACGGGUGAGUAACACGUGGGAAUGUACCUCUCGGUUCGGAAUAACCCAGGGAAAC